UAACACGUGGGGAACCUGCCCCAUAGUCUGGGAUACCACUUGGAAACAGGUGCUAAUACCGGAUAAGAAAGCGGAUCGCAUGAUCAGCUUUUAAAAGGCGGCGUAAGCUGUCGCUAUGGGAUGGUCCCGCGGUGCAUUAGCUAGUUGGUAAGGUAAAGGCUUACCAAGGCGAUGAUGCAUAGCCGAGUUGAGAGACUGAUCGGCCACAUUGGGACUGAGACACGGCCCAAACUCCUACGGGAGGCAGCAGCC
Molecule: ribosomal RNA, 252 nt
Filed under: uncultured Lactobacillus sp.
Lineage: Bacteria; Bacillati; Bacillota; Bacilli; Lactobacillales; Lactobacillaceae
Description: partial 16S ribosomal RNA
Rfam family: Bacterial small subunit ribosomal RNA
Source: RNAcentral